GGCCUCGUAGCUCAGAGGAUAGAGCAGCGGUUUCCUAAACCGUGUGUCGCAGGUUCGACUCCUGCCGGGGCCACCA
RNAcentral lists this transfer RNA (76 nucleotides) under Bacillota bacterium. Its description in RNAcentral is "Firmicutes bacterium (anaerobic digester metagenome) tRNA-Arg". It matches the Rfam family "tRNA". From Rfam's summary of the family: Transfer RNA (tRNA) molecules are approximately 80 nucleotides in length. Lineage: Bacteria; Bacillati; Bacillota. The record is from RNAcentral.